AGAAAUUUAGGUUAAAUAGACCAAGAGCCUUCAAAGCCCUAAGUAAGUGAAUUCACUUAAUUUCUG
This 66-nucleotide transfer RNA is filed under the name Tamias striatus (eastern chipmunk). Its description in RNAcentral is "tRNA-Trp". Lineage: Eukaryota; Metazoa; Chordata; Mammalia; Rodentia; Sciuridae. The record is from RNAcentral.